RNAcentral lists this ribosomal RNA (434 nucleotides) under uncultured bacterium. RNAcentral describes it as "partial 16S ribosomal RNA". It matches the Rfam family "Bacterial small subunit ribosomal RNA", at positions 29 to 507 of the family's 1533-position model. The record is from RNAcentral.
AGCGAACGCUGGCGGCAGGCCUAACACAUGCAAGUCGACCGAACCAUUCGGGGUUAGUGGCGGACGGGUGAGCAGCCGGUGGGAACGUGCCUUGAGGUUCGGCAUAACUCAGGGAAACUUGUGCUAAUACCGACUGUGCCCUUCGGGGGAAAGGUUUAUGGACUUUAGGGCGGCCGGCGUCUGCUUAGCUAGUUGGUUGCGGUAAUGGCUCACCCAGGCGACGAUCCGAAGUUGGUAUGAGAGGAUGAUCAGAUACAUUGUGACUGAGCCACGGCCCAAACUCCUACGGGAGGCAGGAGUGGGUGAUCGUGCGCAGUGGGCUGAAGGCUGACGGAGCCAUGCCGCGUGAAUGAUGAAGGUCGGAGGAUAGUAAAAUUCUUUCACCGGGGACGAUAAUGACGGUACCCGGAGAAGAAGCCCCGGCUAACUUCGUG